This 301-nucleotide ribosomal RNA is filed under the name uncultured bacterium. RNAcentral's name for it is "partial 16S ribosomal RNA". It matches the Rfam family "Bacterial small subunit ribosomal RNA", at positions 509 to 807 of the family's 1533-position model. The record is from RNAcentral.
CAGUCGCCGCGGGAAUACAGAGGGUGCGAGCGUUAAUCGGAUUUACUGGGCGUAAAGCGUGCGUAGGCGGCUUUUUAAGUCGGAUGUGAAAUCCCCGAGCUUAACUUGGGAAUUGCAUUCGAUACUGGGAAGCUAGAGUAUGGGAGAGGAUGGUAGAAUUCCAGGUGUAGCGGUGAAAUGCGUAGAGAUCUGGAGGAAUACCGAUGGCGAAGGCAGCCAUCUGGCCUAAUACUGACGCUGAGGUACGAAAGCAUGGGGAGCAAACAGGAUUAGAUACCCCAGUAGUCCCUGUCUCUUAUAC